UACGGAGGUCCCGAGCGUUGUUCGGAUUCAUUGGGCGUAAAGGGUGCGUAGGCGGCGGGGCAAGUCUGAUGUGAAAUCCCGGGGCUCAACCCCGGAACUGCAUUGGAUACUGCCUUGCUAGAGUACGGGAGAGGGAACUGGAAUUUACGGUGUAGCAGUGAAAUGCGUAGAGAUCGGAAGGAAGGCCAGUGGCGAAGGCGAGUCCCUGGACAGGUACUGACGCUGAGGCACGAAGGCGAGGGGAGCAAACGGG
RNAcentral lists this ribosomal RNA (253 nucleotides) under uncultured bacterium. RNAcentral describes it as "partial 16S ribosomal RNA". It matches the Rfam family "Bacterial small subunit ribosomal RNA", at positions 524 to 776 of the family's 1533-position model. The record is from RNAcentral.